RNAcentral lists this ribosomal RNA (249 nucleotides) under uncultured bacterium. RNAcentral's name for it is "partial 16S ribosomal RNA". It matches the Rfam family "Archaeal small subunit ribosomal RNA", at positions 473 to 720 of the family's 1478-position model. The record is from RNAcentral.
AUACCGGCGGCUCGAGUGGUGGCCGCUUUUUAUUGGGCUUAAAGCGUUCGUAGCUGGGUCGUUAAGUCUCUGGUGAAAUCCCAUAGCUUAACUGUGGGAAUUGCUGGAGAUACUAUUAGGCUUGAGGCCGGGAGAGGUUAGGGGUACUCCCAGGGUAGGGGUGAAAUCCUAUAAUCCUGGGAGGACCACCUGUGGCGAAGGCGCCUAACUGGAACGGACCUGACGGUGAGUAACGAAAGCCAGGGGCGC